GAGUUUGAUCAUGGCUCAGAUUGAACGCUGGCGGCAUGCCUUACACAUGCAAGUCGAACGGCAGCAUGGUCUAGCUUGCUAGAUUGAUGGCGAGUGGCGAACGGGUGAGUAAUACAUCGGAACGUGCCCUGUAGUGGGGGAUAACUAGUCGAAAGAUUAGCUAAUACCGCAUACGACCUGAGGGUGAAAGUGGGGGACCGCAAGGCCUCAUGCUAUAGGAGCGGCCGAUGUCUGAUUAGCUAGUUGGUGGGGUAAAGGCCCACCAAGGCGACGAUCAGUAGCUGGUCUGAGAGGACGAUCAGCCACACUGGGACUGAGACACGGCCCAGACUCCUACGGGAGGCAGCAGUGGGGAAUUUGGACAAUGGGCGAAAGCCUGAUCCAGCAAUGCCGCGUGUGUGGAGAAGGCC
Molecule: ribosomal RNA, 410 nt
Filed under: uncultured microorganism
Description: bacterial SSU rRNA
Rfam family: Bacterial small subunit ribosomal RNA
Source: RNAcentral